GCCCCGAUAGCUCAGUCGGGAGAGCAUCAGACUUUUAAUCUGAGGGUGCAGGGUUCAAGUCCCUGUUUGGGCG
This 73-nucleotide transfer RNA is filed under the name Danio rerio (zebrafish). It matches the Rfam family "tRNA". Rfam says of the family: Transfer RNA (tRNA) molecules are approximately 80 nucleotides in length. Lineage: Eukaryota; Metazoa; Chordata; Actinopteri; Cypriniformes; Danionidae. The record is from Rfam by way of RNAcentral.